GGACGUAAGGGCUAUCUGGCUGUGACACCGUCACCCCAGUAACCGUUGGGGUUGAUGUGUCUGAUCUAGUUGUCUAGACAUGGGUCCCUUUCCUCCCUCACCACUCCACAUACUUCCCUCCCAACACUGAGAUAUCCAUUGUGCAAGGCAGGCACAGUCAGAGGCUACUUCUCUCCAUUGUCAAUUGAAACUUUAUGGUGCAAAUUGAGCAUGCGUAGAGGCCUUCCUGUCCAUCAUUUUAAUCUCUAUGACCAUAAACGGAGCCUGCUUAGGAAUGGGCUAACCCCUAUAUGAAUAGCCACCUUGAAUGAAACCACAUUCUAUCUUUGUUCAGGGAGAGCGUUGCUUUGAAAAUGACACCCUUGCUCUCUUCU
This 374-nucleotide small nuclear RNA is filed under the name Rattus norvegicus (Norway rat). RNAcentral describes it as "7SK RNA". The stretch from base 1 to 107 matches the Rfam family "7SK RNA", at positions 1 to 108 of the family's 331-position model. The record is from Rfam by way of RNAcentral. Lineage: Eukaryota; Metazoa; Chordata; Mammalia; Rodentia; Muridae.